CCAAGCAGCUAUAUCACCCUGUAGCUCUCACCUGGCAGCCCCACUGGGGCUCAGCAGGUGUGAGCCUGGUCAGUACCUGGAUGGGAGACCUCCUGGGGAAAACUAAGGUUGCUGCUGGAA
This 120-nucleotide ribosomal RNA is filed under the name Lepisosteus oculatus (spotted gar). Lineage: Eukaryota; Metazoa; Chordata; Actinopteri; Semionotiformes; Lepisosteidae. The record is from RNAcentral.